GUUAAUAGAGCAGUCUAAAACAUUUUUAGAAACUCAAAGAACAUAACCGGAAACUAUUUUAAUUCAUAAUUUGUCAAACAACUUUUACAUGCCACUGUUCAUGGAUGAAGAAAAGAGAUGGCAAUGCUAUGGCUUGAUGCAAGGGUAACUGCUAGUUAUGAAUUCACCACCCAAGGGAAGAGACUAUGACAAAACGCUGUCAACAACGGCGUGCGUUGAUGCCGUCGUUGGUGUCGCCAACCAAACGGUCAGCUGAACACCAAAAUGUCAGAACUGGCCCCCCAAGGCAAAUCGAAUAGAAACAGAUCAAAGGCAGCUGUGACACUAGAGCAGCUGUGAUGCGCAGAGCUGCGCUGAUUUAUAUUACUAUACAUAUAUUGUCCAAUAGUAUGAGGAAAGCCGGAAAUGCCUAAUUACAUGUUUCGUUGGGUCUUCGGAUGUGACUCUUAAGAGAGCGAAAUUAAGUUUAAGUUGAGGCAAUAUCUUGCAGAACUUCCAAAUUUAUUAGUCAUUAUCUCAAUAUAAA
Long non-coding RNA from Drosophila sulfurigaster albostrigata, 526 nucleotides. RefSeq lists it as uncharacterized. NCBI's taxonomy places the organism in Eukaryota, Metazoa, Arthropoda, Insecta, Diptera, Drosophilidae. The record is from RefSeq and is a predicted model, not a curated record. The transcript is spliced from 3 exons.